AGGAUGAACGCUAGCGACAGGCCUAACACAUGCAAGUCGAGGGGCAGCACAGGAGCAAUCUGAGGUGGCGACCGGCGCACGGGUGAGUAACACGUAUGCAACCUGCCUGUAAGCGGGGAAUAACCCGUUGAAAGACGGACUAAUACCGCAUAAUACUAAAUUACUGCAUGGUAAUUUAUUUAAACAUUUAUGGCUUACAGAUGGGCAUGCGCAUGAUUAGCUAGUUGGAGAGGUAACGGCUCCCCAAGGCAACGAUCAUUAGGGGUUCUGAGAGGAAGGUCCCCCCACACUGGUACUGAGACACGGACCAGACUCCUACGGGAGGCAGCAGUGAGGAAUAUUGGUCAAUGGACGAGAGUCUGAACCAGCCAAGUCGCGUGCAGGAAGAAUGUCCUAUGGAUUGUAAACUGCUUUUGCAGGGGAAUAAAGUGCAUCACGUGUGAUGUUUUGUAUGUACUCUGCGAAUAAGGAUCGGCUAACUCCGUGCCAGCCGCCGC
RNAcentral lists this ribosomal RNA (497 nucleotides) under uncultured bacterium. RNAcentral describes it as "bacterial SSU rRNA". It matches the Rfam family "Bacterial small subunit ribosomal RNA", at positions 26 to 518 of the family's 1533-position model. The record is from RNAcentral.